CCCUUAGAUGUUCGGGGCCGCACGCGCGCUACACUGAAGGAAUCAGCACGUCUUUCUCCUUGUCCGAAAGGACUGGGUAACCCGCUGAACCUCCUUCGUGCUAGGGAUUGGGGCUUGUAAUUCUUCCCCAUGAACGAGGAAUUCCCAGUAAGCGCGAGUCAUAAGCUCGCGUUGAUUACGUCCCUGCCCUUUGUACACACCGCCCGUCGCUACUACCGAUUGGAUGGUUUAGUGAGAUCCUCGGAUUGUUCCCGGAGCGGCCUCUGGUCGUGCCGGAGUGCCGAAAAGAAUGUCGAACUUGAUCAUCUAGAGGAAGUAAAAGUCGUAACA
This 330-nucleotide ribosomal RNA is filed under the name uncultured eukaryote. RNAcentral describes it as "partial 18S ribosomal RNA". It matches the Rfam family "Eukaryotic small subunit ribosomal RNA", at positions 1470 to 1796 of the family's 1831-position model. The record is from RNAcentral.